ACGAACGCUGGCGGCAUGCCUAACACAUGCAAGUCGAACGAGACCUUCGGGUCUAGUGGCGCACGGGUGCGUAACGCGUGGGAACCUGCCCUUAGGUUCGGAAUAACUCCCCGAAAGGGGUGCUAAUACCGGAUAAUGUCUUCGGACCAAAGAUUUAUCGCCUUUGGAUGGGCCCGCGUUUGAUUAGCUAGUUGGUAGGGUAAAAGCCUACCAAGGCGACGAUCCAUAGCUGGUCUGAGAGGAUGAUCAGCCACACUGGGACUGAGACACGGCCCAGACUCAUACGGGAGGCAGCAGUGGGGAAUAUUGGACAAUGGGCGAAAGCCUGAUCCAGCAAUGCCGCGUGAGUGAUGAAGGCCUUAGGGUUGUAAAGCUCUUUGACCCGGGAUGAUAAUGACAGUACCGGGAGAAUAAGCUCCGGCUAACUCCGUG
RNAcentral lists this ribosomal RNA (432 nucleotides) under uncultured bacterium. RNAcentral describes it as "partial 16S ribosomal RNA". It matches the Rfam family "Bacterial small subunit ribosomal RNA", at positions 29 to 507 of the family's 1533-position model. The record is from RNAcentral.